CCUACUCUUACAUGUGGUUACUAUAUCUGAUGAGACUCCAACAGGCCAUCUGCCCAGGGGUGGCACUGCUAACAAUGGGCUGGGCACACCCAUAUCAAUAAUUAGUGAUGAGAAAUCCCCAUAGGGUUGCCUAUAGUCAAUUCCUCAACUGAAAUUUCUUCUUCCCAGAUGACGCUAGUUCAUGCUAAGUUGACAAAACUCUACCUUGGUGAAUGUUGGUCUGUGCUCCCAUUGUUUUGUGUAGUGAUGGAAGAGGCUGCCGUCUGAAACACCUUAGGGACUGUCCUUCAGAAGGGGUGAUCGUCUCAUCAGGCUGUCCAGAAAGCAAAGUCCAUAUCCUAGGAGAAAAUAAAAAUCCCCAAGGAUCACAAGGUAUCAGAGCUAGAGGUGGUCUGCUGGAAACCUCCUUACGGAUGGAGUGAUGAGACUGGGUACAAGAAAGACUGACCUUGGAGUGUAGGGCUGGGGCUGCCCUCAAGAAGUGGCCGUCUGAAGACAAAGCACAUUUCCUCCUCCUCUGACAGGAUCAGAAGGGCACUCAGGUCACCCCAAAUGUCCUAGAACUUUACAUACUUCUAGCCUAUCUUCCCAGGCUGUAUGACUUUAAUAACCGUCUACAUACAGAAGAAAAGAAAAAGGGUCAUGUUAAGAACCAAUUAUGGAAGUGACAUUCUUGAUUCUUGGAAGUUCAAGAUUGAGGGGUCUGCGUCUAGAGAGAGGACCUUCGCCCAGGAUUAUCCCAUGCAGAAGGGCGGAAGGGCACAGGGCCUUGCCUUUCCCUCAGCAACAAUCCAGUCACUUCAUCUAGCCUUGGAUGCACAGCAUAAGCAUUGGGGGCUGCAGUUUCACUCUGCCCAGGAAGGGUCUUUUGAAAAUGCCAAGGGACACUCAUGGGUGAUGACAAUGUGCUAUUCUCAGUGGGAAGAUGACAGUUCAACAAUGGGGUAGAUCUUGUCCUGAAUAAACAUUUUCAUUGGUUCCUCUUUGUGGAGUUC
RNAcentral lists this long non-coding RNA (995 nucleotides) under Mus spicilegus (steppe mouse). RNAcentral describes it as "lncRNA (ENSMSIG00000006618.1)". The record is from RNAcentral. Lineage: Eukaryota; Metazoa; Chordata; Mammalia; Rodentia; Muridae.